UGUGGGAGCUGGCUUGCCUGCGAUAGCGGUGGCUCAGUUGACUCAUCAGUGACUGACACACUGCCAUCGCAGGCAAGCCAGCUCCCACA
RNAcentral lists this unclassified non-coding RNA (89 nucleotides) under Pseudomonas libanensis. The record is from RNAcentral. Lineage: Bacteria; Pseudomonadati; Pseudomonadota; Gammaproteobacteria; Pseudomonadales; Pseudomonadaceae.